UAUUGGACAAUGGGCGCAAGCCUGAUCCAGCCAUGCCGCGUGAGUGAAGAAGGCCUUCGGGUUGUAAAGCUCUUUCGGUGAAGACGAAACGGUCAGUGCUAAUAACAUUGACUAAUGACGGUACUCACAGAAGAAGCACCGGCUAACUACGUGCCAGCAGCCGCGGUAAUACGAAGGGGGCUAGCGUUGCUCGGAAUCACUGGGCGUAAAGCGCACGUAGGCGGAUCUUUAAGUCAGGGGUGAAAUCCUGGAGCUCAACUCCAGAACUGCCUUUGAUACUGGGGAUCUCGAGUCCGGGAGAGGUGAGUGGAACUCCGAGUGUAGAGGUGAAAUUCGUAGAUAUUCGGAAGAACACCAGUGGCGAAGGCGACUCACUGGACACGUAUUGACGCUGAGGUGCGAAAGCGUGGGGAGCAAAC
Molecule: ribosomal RNA, 419 nt
Filed under: uncultured bacterium
Lineage: Bacteria
Description: bacterial SSU rRNA
Rfam family: Bacterial small subunit ribosomal RNA
Source: RNAcentral